Molecule: ribosomal RNA, 406 nt
Filed under: uncultured bacterium
Lineage: Bacteria
Description: partial 16S ribosomal RNA
Rfam family: Bacterial small subunit ribosomal RNA
Source: RNAcentral
AUUGAACGCUGGCGGCAGGCCUAACACAUGCAAGUCGAGCGAGCGGCGGACGGGUGUGUAAUGCUUGGGAACAUGCAUUGAGGUGGGGGACAACAGGUGGAAACGACUGCUAAUACCGCAUACCUUUAGAUUGGCCCAAGUGGGAUUAGCUAGUUGGUGAGGUAAUGGCUCACCAAGGCGACGAUCCCUAGCUGGUUUGAGAGGAUGAUCAGCCACACUGGGACUGAGACACGGCCCAGACUCCUACGGGAGGCAGCAGUGGGGAAUAUUGCACAAUGGGCGCGAGCCUGAUGCAGCCAUGCCGCGUGUGUGAAGAAGGCCUUCGGGUUGUAAAGCACUUUCAGUCAGGAGGCGUUACUGACAGAAGAAGCACCGGCUAACUCCGUGCCAGCAGCCGCGGUAAUUC